AUGAAGCGUUCUGUCAUGGUUAGGCCGAAGGCCAUGCUUAGCGCAGUUCUUGCUGAAGCUGGUUUUCCUGAGGUGAAAUACAAGACCUACACAACCUAUCGUGGCAGUGUGGUGGCUGCUGCUUACUUCUGGCCAUCAGUCACAUUCGUCUGCAGCGGCAGAACAUAUAUGAGGAUUAAUGGCGACCCAGCUGUGGAUGCCGGCGAGGCCAUGCAAAUGCUGCUACUCGGUGCUUGGAGCAUCUUCAAGCCACUAUGGAUGUUGAGUUCGAUUGCCCUCAGAUGCAGAAGAUUAAGACCGAGAUAA
RNAcentral lists this ribosomal RNA (306 nucleotides) under Triticum aestivum (bread wheat). Its description in RNAcentral is "partial small subunit ribosomal RNA". Lineage: Eukaryota; Viridiplantae; Streptophyta; Magnoliopsida; Poales; Poaceae. The record is from RNAcentral.